AUAACCACGUCUUAUUCAAUAUAAUUUAUUAGUAACGAUAAUUUACAUUUGAUAAAUUCGUACAAUAUAUGAUCUACGUACGCACGCGUUUUGUUUUUCUCUCUUUUUUGCGUGUGUUCCUAAAAAAUAAAAUUUUUAUUAUCAAUUCUCCCUUCGUAGCGAGGCAUAAGAUAGAAAAGAAGGAUUCUUCAUCUCGUUCCAAUUUCCUCCGAUAUCAAUCAGGGUUUCCUUUUCUCGAACGUCGCCGUGACUUUGGUCUUUACCUCGCGAGAUAAUUAACGGGGCCGGCUUUUUUUAUUCGCCACCCUGUAGAUCCACGCUGCGUUCUCACUCGCGUGGCAUAUCUCUCAUCGACGAGGUCCGAUGAAGGUCGCACGAACUAACGCGAAAGAACGCCUCUCCUGCCCGAAACCACGGUAUAGUUUAAUGCACACGCUUGUGACAUUCACGGUGCACGCGUACUUUCGGAAUUCACGAAAGAGAGAGAGAGAGAGAGAGAGGAGCAAGUCCGUAAUUUGUAAGGUUCAACCUUAUGUUAGACGAGACCGUGUGUGUGUACGACACGCGCGAUUAAAGAGCGCCGGGACCCUGUAAAUUACGGGCAUCGUAAUUUGGAAAUAUGGCGCCAGAUAAUUUAUACACAGAUACGGCUUUAAAUAAUGCUCAUUUGAACGAAUCUUAUGAAGUUCGAGAUUUAUGGGACUCGCUUCUCAAUUAUCAUCAUUGUUUCGCUAAUAGAAUUCGAUGUAAUAUUCAACAGCGGCGAUCCGGCAUGAUCGUAAAAAAGCUACUGCCCGGAGGCUGCGCCCCAUUUAUGGUUAAGGCAGUCCCGCGCAAAUAAGCGCGACCUUCCUCGCAGGAGGAAGUACGCAGGUACGGCAUGCGUUUUCGGCGCCGGCUCGGAUUCCGUUCGUCGCCUUUUUGGCGAAUCGGUGCACACCCACGUCUUUAUACCCGGUGACUGAGAAAAUACUAUAUAAUGUAUGUACGAUCUUCCGAGAAUUGGACGAGAUUUCGUCUGCGUGAAACGUUCAUGGAUCGACAAGAAGACGCGAGAACCGGCGGCGUUAAUUAAGGUCGGUCGAGCGCGCAGGAAUAUAUAGGCAGAUUUUAUCGUCGGCCAUUAUGGCUUAGAAUACGACAGAGUCCGGCUACGGCAAUACGCAACGACUCCAUUAACGGACAGGCCAAUCCGCAACGACGCGACUCCCCGCGUUCAGGAUUCGUUAAAACGCAAGUUGGAGAAAAACAUCUCGACGACGCGAGAUAUUUAUCUCUCCUUUUUUUCCUUCUUAUACUUUCCGCGAGCUUUUAUUUUGCCGGCGACGCGAGUCUGUACGCGGAUGAAGAUGGCGGAUACUACGAUAAUUUAUUAACUAGUCCGGCGAGUUGGUUCCCCGGACCUGUUGGUGGAGUCUCGACACCGGCUGGUUUCGCGCCCAGACGAAAUCGCAGCGAGAUGCGAAAGCGUUUUAUCCGCUCGAGCAAACCAUCCCAUUCGUCUUUUAUUCUCGCGUGUUUUGCUCGACAUAUUUUUGCGCGCGAUUUAAUUUAUACCUAAUCGAGAUUGAUAACCGAUAUUAUCCGCGCAUCUCGCACGAGGCGUUUUACAUAUGCAAAUGCGACGAGGCGUACACGAGAGUUACGGAGGUUUCUCACCGGAAUUCGAAUUCAACGCGACCUCGUGCGCGUUGCGAGAGGGGAAACACGACAAGUAGUAAUGAUCGUAAUAAUGUCUCGCCAAGCGACAGCGUACGGUUCGUACGGUAAAGAGCAAAGUUCAGCGUUCCUUCGCCGUUUUACUUCUUGAAGCGGCGAUCUCUGCGGAUAGUUUUUGAAAAGCGUUAUGAAUAUACAUGCUAUGUUAAGGAUGCCGAUCGUUUCAUCCACGAUCAUGACAUAAAACUUAACGGAUUUAUCUAAUUAGAAAAGGCGAUUUAAAAGUGAGAAGAAAAAAAAUAUUACACACGUGUAUACAGAUGCGGAAAAUAUUCUCCGCUUCUUAUUCAAUGUCACGAUAGUGGCAUAUAUGUUCUUCAUUCUGAGAGAAUUAUUUUUCAAAAGAAUUUAUUCUUCGCUACUUAACAUGUACGUAUUACCAAGAACGAUCGACAAUCUAAGGUCAGCUUGGUUUUUGCGCAAAGCAAUCUAGCGUGCAGUAUCCAUAAUGCAUCAACAAGUUUUUAUCAUUCGCUCUCUGAGAUUCGUAUCUCGUAGUGCGUUUUGCAUACGCGACGAAUUCAGCUGGUGCACGAGAAGGAUGCGCGGCGAGAAAACUGCGUCACGCGGUAUCUGACAAAUAUAUAUA
Molecule: long non-coding RNA, 2308 nt
Organism: Formica exsecta
Lineage: Eukaryota; Metazoa; Arthropoda; Insecta; Hymenoptera; Formicidae
Exons: 3
Source: RefSeq, a predicted model, not a curated record